GCUAGGGGGCCAUCCCGGCUUACCAACCCGAUGCAAACUGCGAAUACCGGAGAAUGUUAUCACGGGAGACACACGGCGGGUGCUAACGUCCGUCGUGAAGAGGGAAACAACCCAGACCGCCAGCUAAGGUCCCAAAGUCAUGGUUAAGUGGGAAACGAUGUGGGAAGGCCCAGACAGCCAGGAUGUUGGCUUAGAAGCAGCCAUCAUUUAAAGAAAGCGUAAUAGCUCACUGGUCGAGUCGGCCUGCGCGGAAGAUGUAACGGGGCUAAACCAUGCACCGAAGCUGCGGCAGCGACACUCAGGUGUUGUUGGGUA
Molecule: ribosomal RNA, 315 nt
Filed under: Salmonella enterica subsp. enterica serovar Javiana
Lineage: Bacteria; Pseudomonadati; Pseudomonadota; Gammaproteobacteria; Enterobacterales; Enterobacteriaceae
Description: partial 23S ribosomal RNA
Rfam family: Bacterial large subunit ribosomal RNA
Source: RNAcentral